GACGAACGCUGGCGGCGUGCUUAACACAUGCAAGUCGAACGGAAAGGCCCUGCUUUUGUGGGGUGCUCGAGUGGCGAACGGGUGAGUAACACGUGAGUAACCUGCCCUUGACUUUGGGAUAACUUCAGGAAACUGGGGCUAAUACCGGAUAGGAGCUCCUGCUGCAUGGUGGGGGUUGGAAAGUUUCGGCGGUUGGGGAUGGACUCGCGGCUUAUCAGCUUGUUGGUGGGGUAGUGGCUUACCAUGGCUUUGACGGGUAGCCGGCCUGGGAGGGUGACCGGCCACAUUGGGACUGGGAUACGGCCCAGACUCCAACGGGAGGCAGCAGUGGGGAAUAUUGCACAAUGGGCGGAAGCCUAGUGCAGCAACGCCGCGUGCGGGAUGACGGCCUUCGGGUUGUAAACCGCUUUCGCCUGUGACGAAGCGUGAGUGACGGUAAUGGGUAAAGAAGCACCGGCUAACUACGUG
This 468-nucleotide ribosomal RNA is filed under the name uncultured bacterium. RNAcentral describes it as "partial 16S ribosomal RNA". It matches the Rfam family "Bacterial small subunit ribosomal RNA", at positions 28 to 507 of the family's 1533-position model. The record is from RNAcentral.